UGAGCACUAGAACUUUUCACAUGAAGAUGAAACAGAGGUUUAAAAAAAGAUGAAACAGAUGGAAAGGGAACAAUUCUUUAAAGAAGUUGUUGCAGCUUCUGUUAGGUAGUGUUCGCCUUGGACAUCUGAGAGAGACUCCUGAGGUGCUACCUGCUUUUGUCUCUGUCUUGAUUCUCAGAUUCAUGAGACUGUACUGGCUAAUCACAGACAACACUUAACGGAUGGCUGCUCCAGGCCAAGCCUUUUUCUAAGCCUUUUACAUGGAUUAAUGACUCAGUAUCACAUCCUCAUGAGGGAGAACAGCCCGAGAAGUGAAUGUUCUUUUGCACUGCUGUCUUGAGUGCUAGUUCC
Molecule: long non-coding RNA, 351 nt
Filed under: Mustela putorius furo (domestic ferret)
Lineage: Eukaryota; Metazoa; Chordata; Mammalia; Carnivora; Mustelidae
Description: lncRNA (ENSMPUG00000031891.1)
Source: RNAcentral